CGGGGACCUGCGCGCCCACAAGUCUUAAUUAAUUUAUCGCAUCUCUGCUUGAUUUUUUUUUCACUCGCAUCCCUAAUCUUUUUAGUUCUGUACAUAUGCUUUAUGCAUUGAAAUACAUUCAUAUGUCUCUUUUUUUUUAGAUGUGUGUUCAUAUGUCUGUUUCUGGAAGAGAGUUGCUGGAAUUGUCAUCGCUGUUUCUGUGAUUUUACUCUUAACGUAGGUUAGCUUAAAUCUGCCUAGAUUACUACAACUGGAGCCAUGCCCCGAUGACUGGCUGUAUUACAAGAAGAAAUGUUACUAUAUCAUUCGGGGGUUGCAGCAGAUUGGGAUUCUAGCCAGAAGUUCUGCUCGGCCCAUGGAGCUUCUCUUGCAGUGAUUCACAGCCACCAAGAGCUGAACUUUGUAAUAUAUCGAAUACGUACUACAGACUUUUGGACUGGGCUACGCAAGAGAGGAAACGAAUUCUUCUGGGUGAAUGGAGAGUCAUUUGACACAAACUUGAGGAAUUACCAAGGCCAGGUAUUACGGAUUAUUUGA
RNAcentral lists this long non-coding RNA (537 nucleotides) under Struthio camelus australis. RNAcentral's name for it is "lncRNA (ENSSCUG00000008525.1)". The record is from RNAcentral. Lineage: Eukaryota; Metazoa; Chordata; Aves; Struthioniformes; Struthionidae.